UAUGUUGAACUUCUCCCAAGGUGGUGAUCUGAGACAGUUGCCCAACACCUCAAGCUGGUUGAGAGCUAUUGGAAGAUGCCUGUAGCUGGUUGCAAAAUAUUCAGGUAUUGAAUCAAGCCCGAGGCUGCAAAUCUUUCCUCAGAAUCUAUACACGAAGCUUUUUGCAAAGCUGGCGAGAUCCAUUUCAAGUCAGAAUAUCACAGGUUCUGACUCAUAGAUUGUUAGUAGUGUUUUAGACUUUCUUGCUAUAGCAUCUUGAUGAGUGGUGAGUUUACCACUCAUUUGCACUCAGUAUUCGAGCACACUACUAUGAUUUAAAUGUAUGAAUAGAAAAAUUUUGUGGUUUAAUGCACUAUUUUCCACAUCUUACAAGCAUACAAGUUAUGAGAAGAAAAGAGGUUGAUUUGAGCUGAUCAGGAUCAAAAUGGAGAAAAGAAGUGCAGCUGGAAGACCUAGAGCAGAAAUCAGCCUCAGUUAUCGUAAUCGCAGUUUGAGGGCUGCGAUCA
Molecule: long non-coding RNA, 506 nt
Filed under: Capsicum annuum
Lineage: Eukaryota; Viridiplantae; Streptophyta; Magnoliopsida; Solanales; Solanaceae
Description: long non-coding RNA (CANN_LNC015390)
Source: RNAcentral